CGCCCCGCGCCCCCGGCGGCGUCAGCUCCAGCCCCGGGGAUGCGGGUCGGGAACACGAGGGGGUGGGGUGGGAAUGGGGGCGGGCGCGUCCCUCCCUAGGGUGUCCCCUCCGACGCCCGCUCCUCUGGACCUCUGCCGUGGAGCCCCCCGGGCUACCCCCAACUCCCCGGCCCCGGCCGCUGCUAUCUGCGCGGCUGGGCCCGUCAGGGAAGCCCAGGGGUCACUGUCUCGCGGCGGCUUCUGCUUCUUGGAUGAACUUGCGUCCCGCGUCCGGGCUCUGGGUGGGCGGGCUCAGGUCGGCGCGGUCCCAGCGGAUAAUUCCGCCCUUUCCCGGCGGGGAGGAGGGGGCGCGACCUGGGUGGCCAGCGCCCCUUGCCCCUCGGCGGUCUCGCUGGGGACCGUGUGGGACCUUGGAGAGAAGGCGAGCGGCCGAGCGCCCCAGUGGCCCCAGGCCUGGAGACCCUUCCGGGAGAGCGGGGGCCUGUUUUUGCUCCGCGGCUCUUUGUCGCUUCCGAGGGGGGAUGGAAGGAGUCGGGUUGCAAGUUUACAUUUCGGACCCGAGUGCGCAUUCCUGAGAGGGAGGCUUUCCCUUGCGGCUGAAUAGACGGGCCCGUCCGCGUGGGACCCGCAUCCUUGCGCCCCGGGGACCCGCAGCCGGUCGCCGAGGCCUGCGGACGCCCACCUCUUCGUGAUCUGCGCGCCUGGUGUCGGGACUGGGCCGUGGCUACUCUCCUGCUCUCCCGGGUCCGGGAUCUUCCCAGUUGGUUUUCGGGCUUGCUAUUCCCCGUCCCACCAUCCACAGACAUCCUUGACCGCCUGCCUCAUCCAGGCCACUCGACCCGACUGGGAAGACCUUUGGUGGUCUCGCCUCCCACAGCCCAGGCUGUGUCCUCCAAGGGCACCGUCUCAGCAGCAGCCCCGCGCCCAUUCUGUGCCUGGCCCGUGCUGGACCUGCCCGACCCUCUGCUGGUGUGGUUCGAAUCCUGGCUCUCUGACUUUUGGGAAGCGCCCUGGCAGCCCUUGUCCCCGGAGCGCUCUCCUUUCUGUGAACAGUUGCUUCUCUCUGCUGUCAAUGACUUACAGUAUGCCCUGACCACGGAGCCAGCUGGACAGUGGUCACGGGGACAGUCCUGGGACAGCCCUGGGUCCUACCGGGCCUGCACUUAGCUUGUUCCACAUGCUGGGAGGCAUAGGGGGCCUCCUUGCUUCAGGACCAUUAUGACUGAGCUUCCUCCCCAUCUCCCCAUUUUGCAGAUGAGGAAACUGAGGCCCAGACACAUUCACAAAAGUGCAGGAGAGCUCAUCUGACUGCAGACUCAGUGUGUAACCUGCACCCUGUGCACCACCUAAUGGAUUCAGUCUGGGGCACUUGGCACGGGCCUUCAGUCUGCAUCAGAGGCGAGAGGUUCGGGGUGGAUAUUCCACCUGAGAAUGCUUGGGUUGUGGCGACAGUGGGGGUCCCUGCGGGGGUAGUGUGUAGAGGAGAGAGCUGAGGACUGACUCCCAGGGAACCUAGCACCAGCACACGCAGAGAGAGAGGAAGAGGUGGAUAGGCAGGAGAGGCAGGAGGCUGGCAGAGGAGCAGGCAUCCCAUAGCCCUGGCCCUGCUGAGGAAGCAACUUAGGUGCCCAUGGCCAGGGUGCAGUAGUGGCCAUUGGGGGUGUAGUGGGGGCCAUCGGGGUGCAGUGGGGGCCAUCACUGCUCCCAUUCUACAGAGGCAAGGAAGAGGUGGAUUGCUUGCCUGAGGUCACAUCACCAGUAAGUGGUGCCUCCUGGGUGUGAAGUGUGGCCGCCCUGGGUUCAGCUGCCACAGUGUCCUGUGCUUGCCUGCAGAUGGGGAGGGCUUCUCUUUGGGACGCCACAUUUUAAGAGACCUUGUUACCCUUCGUCUGCCCCCAGAGAGACCUGGAUGGUGUCAGUUAGGAUCCUAUAGUGUAGCUGGAUGGUCUGGAGAAGACUGAAAAGAAUGUUCGUAGAUGGGAGAACGGGGUCUCCUUGCUGGGGAGGAGGCUGAGGGCCAGAACAGGGCGGUGCGCUUGAGUCUCACACCUUCCAGAAGCUUCACCAGCGCUCAUGGUGGUGACUUCUAACAUCACACCUCUUGCUAAUACUUUGGUUUUAAGAAAACUCCAUGUUUGAUUAUUAAGAAAAAAUAAAUUUAAAAAAGUUAAAAAAAGAAAAAAUAGAAAACUGUUGGAAAAUUUUAAAAGGCGAAAAGUAUCUGGGAUGGUUUUGCCAGGAAAUGCUAGGAAAGAUGUGAAGGGCUGAAGGUAGAGAAGAGAGUGGCUGCUGUGCUUCCUCUCACUGGGUGCAGAUGACAGCUUGCUGGGUAGACAGUAAUGAGACAGCACCACUCCAUCGGCAUCCAGAGGCACUUUAACCAGAGUCCCCCAUCAGGGAGGGUGGGAGGGGAGCUGAGCAUGAGCGCAAUGGGGCCAUCCCAGGCUCCCCACUUGUCUGCAAGUGUGCAGUGGGAGGAUUUUAGUGGUUCUCACGAAGGAUGCUGACUGGGAAGGAUGUAGGUGCUGGGAUGUAGGGAUUUAUUGCCAGUAGGUGAUUGGCUGUUUCCACCUAAGGGAAAAUUACUGGAGGACCCCUCCACCAUCCUUACCAACUCCAGCAUUUUUCGGAGCUUAACAACAGGGCUGUGUUUCCCUGGAGGCGCUCUGGUGGCUCUGUGGGUGGACCACACUUCCACUCUGGCCACUUGGCCCAUGAACGAAUCACGAGGGGUAAGAAAAUGAUAAAACUCCAUCUCAUUUGGAAACAUGAAUCACAGCUUAUUGUUUGCAAGUACUUGGAAUCUGUUAGAAGCAUUGUUUGUAAAUGAGAUACUUCAGUUGUAUAUUUAUUUUGUAAAAUUGGGAAAGGAGUAAACAGCUGAUCUGGGGUUCCUUCUGCAAAGGCAGGAAAUGCUGGUUCCUCCCAAUUCAUUCCACUGGGGGCUGCCUGUGAAAUUUACCAGCCCGCGUUUCCCCCUUGGUUUUGAGUUGGUGGGUCAUGUUUACGGGCCUGGCAUAUUAACAGGCAUAAACCUUGACUCAGCUGUCACACUGGCCAGAUGAUCUUUUCUCUCACAGCCCAGUAGGCAGUUUUAUGUCCCGACGUCAAUAAAAUUAUGUUGCCAUGGAUCCUGUUCCUAAGAUUAGGUGAAAAGAUGCAGUAUGUUCUAGAAUCACACGUGAGGACCAUGUGCUCACUCACUCACAUCUCAACAAUGGUGUUGAAGGCAGAAUAAUGGUCCCCAAAAAGGUCCACGCCCUAAUCCCCAGACUCUGUGAAUUCAAUAUGUUACAUGGCAAAAGGGACUUGGCAGAUGUGAUUCAGGUUACUUGGAAUUCGUAGAUGGGAGAUUAUUCAGGACCAUCCACGUGGGCACAGAGAACUUUGGCUGUCAAAGUUGUGAAACAGGCAGUCAGAAGAUCCUAUGUUUGGAAGCACAGUUGCUGGCCCUGAGAUGUAGGGGCUCACUUGCAAGGACCAGAGAGAGGCCUCAGGGAGCUACGGGAGGCCCCUAGCUAAUGAUCGGCAGUUACAAAGAAUUGGAUCCUGCCAACACCCUGAAUGAGCUUGGAAACAGAUUUCCUCCCCAGGGCCUCCUGCUAAGAGCCCAGCCAGCCAACACCUUGAUUUUGAGACCCUGAGCUGCUGGGCGUGUGGCCUGUGGAACUGAGAUAAUACAUUUGUGUGGUUUUAAGCUGGCUGGGUUGUGGGAAUUUGUUACGGCAGCAGUGGAAAACUAAUACAGAUGAUGGGAGAGAAGCUUGCAGGGUGAGGCUCUCUUGCACCCUUGAGAUCUGUUACUAAGUUCAUUGAAGGUAGUGAACCCAAGUGUGCUCUUCACUUUGGCCACUUCCAAGUGCAGCUCUCAAAUGGGAUGGGGCAUUGGCACUGCUCUUACUCAUAAUGGGACCCUUGAGCAAAUUACUCAUACUUUCUUAGCCUUGGUUUUCUCAUCUGUGAAGUGGAACCAAGCCUGCUUGCUGCCGAGUCGUGAGGACUCGCUGAGAUGAUGUUGGCAGAGAAUUUAGCCCUGCGUUUAAGAUAUGCCAAGUACUCAACGAAGCGUUGCUUUUGUUAACUUUUUAUUUAAUAAAGCAUAAAGUUUAGAAACAUAGUGACAAGUGACUUCUGUGUGCGGUUAACGGGUUGCUGGAAAAAUGCCUUUCUUCAAAAGUUGGUUUCUUGAUAGUGUGUUUUGCUUCCUAAUUGGGGUAGAAGUCACAUUUGCUCAGUGUGAGGAGCCUGACUUGCGUGCCUUCACAUUAGCUCUAAGCAAUGAUAAUUGCUAGGAAUAGUGUGAUAUCCAAAUAAAUUUGGGAGCGUGGGAGUUGAUGAGAGAUCUCUUUUGUUAUCUAGAGUAGCAAGCAAGCUGCUACUUUGGGGAAGAAAAAUUAGAUUUGAUCAUAAGUAAAUAGAAAUGCAGGCAUUUUCAUUCACUGGAAUUGCAGCAAAACCAAAUCAGGGCAUAUUAUAUUUCUACAAACCUGAUUUUACUUUGGAAACAUAAGAAAUUUAAAUUUAUUUCUAUGCCAUUGUUUGCCUAGGAUACCAGACAUCUGAUCAGGAUUGUCUUAGUGUGUGUCAAUAGUUCUGUCUCUUUAUCACCUCUGUGGAUGCAGGUAGUGAAAUGGGGAGGAAGAAAUAGGCCACGUGGUGUCCUUUGCUGGGUGUGGCGCUGACGCCCCAGGGCCAUCGCUGUAGCAAGCGCACACUUGUACGCUGUUCCCACCCUCCUUCCCUCCCUCCCUUUUCCCUUCUUUCUUUUCUUCCUCUCUGUACUUUGUAUUUUCAGAUGAUUGCAUUAAACUUUGUAUUUUCAGAUAAUUAUAGCCAAAUGCGGGUGUAAAAUAUAAUUCAGGGAGAUCAUGAGUAGCCAUUACUAGUUUCACCUAAGGUUACGUCUUGUAAAGCUGUAGUACAGCAUCACGACUGGGAUAUUGACAUCGAUAGUCAAGGUACAGAACAUUUCCAGCACCACAAGCACCACGCCUACCUCCCUCCACGCCUUUCUCCCCUCAAAUCCUGGCCACCCUUUGCCUGUUCUGUGUUUUUAUAAUAUUGUCCUUUAAAGAGUGUUCCGUUAGUGAAAUUGCAUAGGAGGUAAGCUUUCGGGAUUGGCUUUUUUCACUCAGUAUCUCUCUCUGGAUAUUCAUCCGGGUGUUGCUUCUUUUCUUUGCUGAGUAUCAUUUCAUGGUCUGGAUAUGCCCCAGAUUAACUGUUCACCUGUCGAAGGACAUCUGAGUUUGGCUGUGACAAAUACAGCUGCUGUCAACAAGCACAUACAGGUUUUAGUGUGAACCUAAGUCUUCAUUUUCUGGGAUAAAUGCCCAGGAGUGCAGAGGCUGAGUCGUCUGGUAGUUGGAUGUUUAGCUUUUUAAGAAACUGCCAAACUUUCCUGGAGUAACUGUGCCAGUUCACAUUCUCACCAGCAGUGUAUAUGUGAUUGUAGAUUUCUCGGAAUCCUUGCCAUCAUUUGUCACCGUCCUUAUUGCUUGUGUAGGUGUGUAGUUGUCUGUCAUUGUGGUUGGAGUUUGCAUUUGCCUUGGUUUCAUUUGGGAGCCAGCGUGCAGCUCCCUGUGCUGCUGCGGUACAGGAGAAGGCAGCCCACCCAGGGGGUGCUGGUGGGAGCGCUGUAUGAGCGGGUCCACUGAGCUGUGAAAUUGUCCAGUGUAUUCAGGGAAGGACUUUGAUCCAGUUUGAAGAGACAUCAUGGAGUGGAAGGCUGACCGGGCACAUGCACCAGUGUGGAGACCACGGUUAACACCAGGUGGUCGCUUGUCAAGAUGCGGUUGUCAAGAUGUUCACUUUUCAAACCCUUCAGUGCAUCCGGAAGGCCUUCAGGGAGGAAAUGAGGAGGCGCCCGAGGAGGGGUCAGAGUUUGAGUUUUAGCCCUGACAAGGCCACUGUUCAUGCAUAUGACCCAGGGUGAGUGUUUGAACCUCUUCCAGCCUGGUUUCUGCGUUUUUAAGCAGCGAUGUUCUGGAUGGUACUGUGGGCUUUGCUUCACUGAGGUUGGGCUGAUGGGAGUUGACAGGAACUAAUUAAUGUAUCUUAAGGCAGUUUGGAAACAUUGUUAUGCAAAUGGAUUGCAUUUGCCAUCAGCCACUGUUCCUCAAUUUGCUUUUAUUGAUAUGAUGGGAAGUGCUUUGGAGCUGACGUUGAAAUCACAGUGUGGAAUUUGUGUGUUAGUUGACUGGAGCUACCAUAACAAAGGACCACAAGACAGGGUGGCUUAACCAACAGGACUGUGUUUCUUCACAAUUCUGUAAUGCCGGAGUCAAGGUGUUUUGGUGGUUGGUUUCUUCUGAGACCUCUCUCCUUGGGUUACAGACAGCUGUCUUCACCCUGUCUUCAUAGGGUCUUCCUUCGGUGUGUGUCAGUGUCCUCAUUUCCUCUUCUUACAAGGCCACUAUGGCCAGCCUCGGUGGCUCACACCUGUAAUCCCAGCAUUUUGGGAGGCUGAGGUGGGCGGGUCACCUGAGGUCAGGGGUUAGAGACCAGCCUGGCCAAUAUGGUGAAACCCCAUCUCUAGUAAAAAUACAAAAAAUUAACCUGGUAUGGUGGCGGGCGCCUGUAAUCCCAGCUACUGGGGAGGCUGAGGCAGGAGAAUCACUGGAACCUCGGAGGCGGAGGUUGCAGUGAGCCAAGAUUGCGCCAUUGUACUUCAGCCUGGGCAACAAGAGCAAAACUCCAUCUCAAAAAAAAAAAAGAGACCGGGCGCGGUGGCUCACGCCUGUAAUCCUAGCACUUUGGGAGGCCAAGGCGGGGAGAUCACGAGGUCAGUAGAUCGAGACCCUCCCGGCUAACACGGUGAAACCCUGUCUCUACUAAAAAUACAAAAAACUAGCCGGGCGUGGUGGCGGGCGCCUGUGGUCCCAGCUACUCGGGAGGCUGAGGCAGGAGAAUGGCGUGAACCCGGGAGGCGGAGCUUGCAGUGAGCCGAGAUCGCGCCACCGUACUCCAGCCUGGGUGACAGAGUGAGACUCCAUCUCGGAAAAAAAAAAAAAAAAAGAAAGAAAGGACACUAGUCAUGCUGGAUAAGGGCCUACCCUACCGUAAAGACCACACUUUGACUUAGUCACCUCUUUAAAUUCCCUGCCUCCAAAUACAGUCACACAUCCAGGAUGCUGAAUUUCUGAGGUUAGAACACUGACAUAUGGAUUUGGAGGGACACAGUGUAGCCCAUAACAGUAUGAUUUUGAUAACAUAAGACUUUUCAUCUACAGUUUCCCUCUGUCUUUAGUGGCCUUUGAAUUUUUUUUUUUUUUUCCUGCAAGCCCAUGGGUCCCUGGUGCUACUGGACUCGAGGGAGGUAAGGAGCUUUCUAAUGGGACUCCAAUUUGUUUCUGUUCAGAUCUGGAAAUUCCUUGUAAUCAAAUUAGUGACAGAACAAUGCAAUCAGGUAGUUUGAGAUCCAAACAGGAACUUCAGAGCAGUUCUUUAAGUGUGAUCAUUCUCCUGUGAGUGUGGCUCAGUCUCUGAGCUCAACCUACCUGGGCUUAAGCUGCAUUUAGCAUUAGGAUAUUCACACAUCCUGCUUGGACUUAAUUCCAGUUUCUUACCAUUUAUGUUUUUGUAGCAUGAGUAGGGCAGCCUCAUAUUGGCUCUGGAAUCCCAGUUGGACAGUGAUGGCAAAACCCGGGCUUUGGUGCUGGUGUCACACACUUGGUGACCCAGGGCUGUCCCACACAACUCCAGGGGGCACUGUUCUUCUCCACAGCCCACGAGGCUGGCUUCUGUCCUCCACUCGCACCUUGCGUGGCCCUCCGUGGCCUUGGGCCGUCAGAAAAGCGCUUUAAUAUCAGGAGCUCAUGGGGCAAGGGAGGGGGCUUGGCUCGUGACAAAUAAAUGACACCGGGCUUCUUGAUGAUGACUUACAAGCUCAGUUUUGGCCUGCCACUCUGCAGUUAUCCACAUGCCCACAUGCACGUGGGAAACUGAGUAUCCACGCAGGCACUCCCUGUCUUCAAAAGGCAGAUGGUUUCACCCCAGACAGAUGUCUGUCAGUUCGUUGAAUUUUCAUUUGGGUGCCUUGAGGAGAAAAAGAUGCUUUCUCUUGGCAUAUAGUGUGUGCUGUCAAAACAGCUCAGGUUAGGGGUCAUAGAGAUCCGUCUUUGAAUAUCAGCCUGGUGUCUUAUUAGGCAUGUCACCUUGGGGGUUAUUUACCUUAAGCCUGAGUUUCUCCUUUGUAAAACUGGUGAUAACACCAACCUCUUUGGGCCCUUCUGAGGAGAAAGAGAUAACCUAGCCCAAACCGGGCCCAUGGUCUGUGCUUGAUAAUGUUAGUUUCUUUCAUCCUUUAUUGAUUGCUUUGUAAGUAGAAGGCUGUGUUGCUUGGGACUGAAUCUCUAGCUUAAUUCAGGCUCUCCCCAGCCCUGCUGCAUGGGCCCCAUUGCUUCUGUAGCCCCUGCCUGUUGCAAAGUGCUGGUCAGAAUUUUAAUGUUAGCUCUGAGGUUAGAUCAGGGACUGUAGUUCUUAUUGAUUGCUGGGGGGUCCUGAAGGGACAGGAUGAAGGCAGAUCUCUACAUCUCUCAUCAGAAAUGUUACCUUGAGUCUUUAUCUAGAUGCAGUUGCUGUUUAGACCUAUGAUUUGUUGCUGCAUCUCCUGAGGAGUGUGAUGCAAGAUUUUUAUGCCAUCCUGAGUGAUUUGUUUCAGUUUUAAAUUUUAUUUUAUUUAUUUAUUUUUAUAGACAGGCUCUUGGUCUACUGGCCAGACCAGAGUGCAGUGAUGCGAUCAUAGCUCACUGCAGCCUUGAACUCCCAGGCUCAAGUGAUCCUCCAACCCUGGCCUUCUGAGUAGCUGGGACUACAGGUCUAGCUAAUUAAAAAAAACUUUUUUAAGGAGAUUGGGAGAGGGUCUUGUUAUGUUGCCCUGGUCUCAAACUCUUGACCAAAGUGCAGGGAUUAGAGAUGUGAGCCACCACACCCAGGGGAGUGAUUUAACUUAAUUGGUUACACUAGGUAAACUUAGGUGUAUUUAUGUAACAGUCAUGAUUUCCUUUCUGACUGUUAGCUAGCUGCUGUAACAAACAGCCCCAACAUUUUGCUGGCUUCAUACAAUACAAGUUUGUUUUUCAUUUGUGUCAAAGUGGGCGGUGGGGAGGGUGAGCAGGGGCUCUGCUCUGCCCAGCCAUUCAGAGUCUCUGGCUCCUUUGACCCUGCCAGUCUGCCCUCCACUGCCCUUCCCCAUUCAACCUGUAGAUGGGGAAAGAAAGAGAUGAGGAUGGUGCAUAGAUUUUCUUUCUGGCCUGGUCUGGGGGUGGUGCCCAUCCCUUCUGCUCACAUUUUCUCACCGUGACCUGAGUCUCUGGUCAGACCUGCAGCAAGUGGGGUGGGAAAUGUAAUCUGACUGUGUGCCUCGCAGGAAGAGGAGAAUGUGGAUUUGGUGGUCUCCUCCACGUGUUCCUAUUGAUGCUUAUUUUCCAUUACCAGGAAGAAUGUUAGUCUGGACUCUUCAGCUUCAUUGGCGUUGAGCAUAGAGGUUGUACAUCCUCAGGACUUUCACCCUGAAAGUCACUUGGCAGAACAGAUGUUCAUGUCCCUAUAAAGACGGAAGUGAUGCCAAGGACAGACGCCGCCUUUUUCCUUGGGGUGUAUUUUGCUACUUAUGUCCUAUAGAUUUCAGGAUAUUCUUCAGGGUAUACCAAGCCCGAGAGCAGUGCUGCUUUCUCAAUGUGUCUUUUUCUUUUUUGGGGGCGGGGGGGGGAUGGAGUCUUGCUCUGUUGCCCAGGCUGGAGUGCAGGGGCACAAUCUUGGCCCACUGCAACCUCCGCCUCCUGGAUUCAAGCAGUUUUCCUGCCUCAGCCUCCCAAGUAGCUGGGAUUACAGGUGUGCACCACCGCAUCUGGUAAUUUUUUGUAUUUUUAGUAGUAACACGGGGUUUAGUUACUAACACGGGUUAGUAACACGGGGUUUCACUGUGUUAGCCAGGAUGGUCUCGAUCUCCUGACCUCGUGAUCUGCCCACCUUGGCCUCCCAAAGUGCUGGGAUUACAGGCGUGAGCCACCGUGCCUGGCCUCAGUGUGUCCUGUCCUUUUCAUAUCUGUCUGGCUGUUCCUGUUCCCACCAUCCAAAAACACAUGCACACCCCAGGCCCCUUUCCUGUGCUGUUUAAUUCUUUUGGCCUCAGAAGGCUGUGUACUAAAGCUUGCUAAUGAGAACCGUGUCUUUGUUUUUAAGUGUUUUUUGUCUUUAUAGAAUGGAAUCUCUAUAUUCUGAAAUAACUCUUGUCUAUGAGUAUGUAUGCAAUGAGAAAGGCUAUAAAGUUAAAUCAAGGAGAGCAACAGUGACUUAAAAGUUAGGCGUUGGGACACUAUGGUGUGGAGUUUAGAGCACUGGAUUGACAGCCUGAAUAAUAGGGUCUGGUAUUCCUGGGUACAGCACUUAACUGCUGCCACCUCUGCCCUCCCUGAGCCCCAGGCCCCUUACCUGGAGUUAGGGCAUAUCCUAGCACAUCUGUGCAUCUCAGCUCUGCCCAGGGGAGAGAGCAGGACCGUGUGUGUGGAAGAGCUUUGAGAAGAGAAAGUACUACUUAGUGUUGGGUUAUUCAUGUUAAACUAUUAUACAGUCAAUAUUAACUUCUUAUAGAGAAAAUAUAUGAUUUCUGGUGAUUGUUUUAAAUUGGAAAAGGACAGUGUGGCAUUGUGAGUUUCACUUUCCUCAAAGUUUUAUGAUUUUUAUUUUACUUACUAGUAGACAAGUUUUCUAGUAAUUGAUUAUGUUGUGAGUAGAUGAACAUCUUGCAUAAGCAGCUAGCCUGGGCUGCUGUGUAACCUAUGUAUAGAGACGAAUGGUGAUGAAGCCUGUAUGUUUCAGCCUCGGUUAGGAAACCUUCUGUCCUAAGCCACAGAAAAGUUAAAGAAGACUCUGCCUCGAAAUAACUCAUUUCUUCCCUCCCUUCUCCCCUUCUUCCCUCAUUCCUUCUGUCCUUUCUUCCUCCCCUCCUUCCUUUCCUCCUUCCUUUCCUCCCCUCCUUCCUUCUACCCCUCCUUUCCUUCCUUCCCUUCUUUCUUCCUUCCUUCCUGUUUGCUUGCCAGCCCUGUUCUUAGACAUUGGUAUCUGGAGCUGCCCUCAUGGGGUUUAUAGUCUGAUACAGCCAACUCUUCCAUAUCUGAAACUCUCGAGGCCAGUGGUGUUUCAGAAUUCCAGUUUGUCACAGUGCAGAGAGACAGGUGGGAGCUGUGUGAGGCCAGCGGUGUUUCAGAAUUCCAGUUUGUCACAGUGCAGAGAGACAGGUGGGAGCUGUGCGAGGCCAGCGGUGUUUCAGAAUUCCAGUUUGUCACAGUGCAGAGAGACAGGUGGGAGCUGUGCUUGUGGCUCCUGUGCCAGACACCCCGAGCAGCUCUGGGCAACACCCUGGAGUCGAGCAUAUUGAUUCUGCUGCCAUGAGCGUGUGAACAUUCACAGCACGAGGGAAGCCAUCCGUAAUUAGCUCCUCUCCGCUCAGGUUAGACUUUUGCAGUUAAAUGAAUUACAGAAAUCUCUUUGGGUUUGGGAACUUUGUGGGUAUUUCGGGCUUGUGGGUAAUGAACUGUCGAUGUUGUAUUUUUUCACAGCUCAACCAACAUAUUCAGGUUUUGUCUUCUCAGGGCCUGUCAUUCAUUCUGGUUCUCUGAUCAGAUUUCCUCAGACUGUGGGUGCCUGCAGCCAGCCCGGAAGCCCUUUAAAAUGCCCUUCGUGGCCAUCCUGGCCUCAUUCCCAGAUCCACUCCUGUCCAGCUGGGUGCCUGGCUGGUCCCCGGUCACAGUCUGCAAUUCCCACUCCCCUGCCUCAGCUUCACAGGGUCUGUGGCUGAUCCGAGUCAGGCCCUGGGCACUGCUGGCCUCAUCACAUUGGCCUCCGGACCCCUUCUGGAAGAGACUUAUCCCUUUGUUCCACCCCGGGCUGUGGGGACAAGAUUUUGCGAGAGCUGAGGGCCCAGUGAGAAUGGUCUUGAGUCCUUAGGGCCUGGGAGCCCUAGGUGGAAGUGGGAAGGAGGAGGAGGAGAGUGGGGAGGAGAUGUGAGGACUAAGCGCACCCAGGGCCAGUUUAAGAGGUCAGGGUCGAGGACAUUAGAGGCCUGUCUCCCCCAGGCGCAUAAAGCUGUGAGUUUUCCUUCUUCAGUUCCUUAGGCAGAACCCCUAAAGCAGAUUCUGGGGUGAUGGAACUCUGGGUAUGAGUUCUUGUUAGCCAGGCAUAGUUAGGAGCUUGGGCCUGCAUCUGGACGAGAGAGACUCAGCUGUGCCCAUUGAGAGCUUGUGCUGCCUGCAAAGUGACCUGCCUGAGGCUCAUUGCCUGGUCCCUGUGAAUAUUAAGUGGCUUCAACACAAAGAAGGGACUUCCAGGGGAGGCUGCCCGGGAUUGCCAGUGCAGUGGGGCUCCGCUGAUGCUCAGGAUCACCAGCGUGCAGCGGGGACUCCACUGAUGCCUGGGAUUGAUUGCCAGCAUGCAGCGGGGACUCCACUGAUGCCUGGGAUUGAUUGCCAGCAUGCAGCGGGGGCUCCGCUGAUGCCCGGUAUCCACCAGCGUGCAGCGGGGGCUCUGCUGAUGCCUGGGCUUGCAUGCCGCUGCCGCUGCCUACUGGUGCGUGGCGGUAGCCGCCUGUGCCCAGCUGGUGUGCUUGUCCAAGGUGAUGACGGUACUUUUUAUUGCACAGAGUUGCUGGAGAGUUGAAUGACCUGGGUCAUGUCAGCACAGUUUCUCAGUCCCUGCACUGUUGACAUUCUGGGCAGGAUAAUUUUUCACCCUGGGGAGCUGUCCUGUACCUUGCUGGAUACUUAGCAGGGCCUGCCCAGUAGAUCCCGGUAGCAGGAUCCCCCUCCAGCUCUGUAUGUUCUUCAGAUGAUUUGGGGAUAUCACUGGUAUUUUAAUAAGUUCUAGAAUUUCCCCCAUUGACAUUGCCAGGAUGUCAAGCCAGGAUGUCUCAGCCAUUGCCAACUGUCCCGGGGGUAAGUGGGGCGGGAUGGCCUAACUCAUGGUAAACACUCAACAGCUGCUUACUGUUACUAAUGAUACUGUGUUAUUAGCAGCAAAGUCAGCGAAGUCACUUCUGUAUAUUUGGGAAGAAAAGCUAGAAACCCCAACGACUUGGUCUGGCAGGGUGUGCAGGUGGGCACGGAGGAUUCGGACAGGUGGGCACGGAGGAUUUGGAGGAGGAGAAAGUCAAGGUGCAGAUGGGCACAGAGGAUUUGGAGGAGGAGAAAGCCGAGAGGGAGUGUGGGGGCCCUUCGGCCAAGCUUCUUGGCUGUCUAAAGAUCAUUAGGAGCUGGCUGUGUUUCAUUCUCCUUCUGAGAGACAAACAUGAGUUUCUCUUGAGGCCAGGAGUGAUGUGCAGAUGAACACGAAUUGUGUGGCUCAUCCCAACAUGUCCUUUAAGAAACCCCAUGCAGGCUGCUUAGAGACCUUCCUAAACGCAGGAACUCAAGCAUUUGCUUCUUGGAGUUUUAUUUGCUGGAAUAAAGGCACUUAUCAACCUCUUUUUUAUUUUUCGAAAAUAAUAACUUAUUUUCUUUAACAUAAUUGACUUCACCAGAGGCAAAUACCGAUUUAGCAGGAAGGAAAUGUGAUUAUUUUCCUUUCUAAUUGCUGUGCUUCUAUUAACUUCACAAGAUUUGUUUUCAAGUCCUCCUAACGUCAUAAGUGUUUUCCUGACAAUUUUUCAAAGGCAGGAAUCGUCCUGUUCCUCCAGGCACCGUGGCCAAGUGGCCAGAUUUCUUCACAUUAUUCUUGGGGGUUGUUGCUUUGAGAAUCAGCCCAGUGAGGCCAAGGGGAAGGGGAGGUGGGGGUGUGUGCAGGAGGCCUGAGACUUAGGUGACCCCGAUGACGGUCUGUGCUAUUUCCAUACUCAGGCUCUGUGGCCGUCAGCCCGUUGCUCUGAGGGACAAAAGCUUUCUUAUCCCAACCCAGGCUGGAUGACCCCCCGAUCCCGCGUUGCUCUCUGCAGUUCUGCGACAUGCUUCCCCUCCAGUCCCCCUGGGGGCAGGUGGUGGCUCCGUGUCCCCUGCUAGACGGAGGGCCCUCGAGGGUGAGGCCUUAAUCCUGUUGCUUUCUCUCUUCCCAGCACCUGCUGUGGUCCCUGGCACACCUUGCCGUACAUUGAAUGAAGGCAAAGGGAGAGAUUUCAUCAUAGCAAAAUGUCAUGAACUGCCUGGAGAACCAUGAGUUUUCUGUUGGUGGGGAGUUACGUCUUGGAGGGGGCACCACUUCCAGGACUAAGGCAGUGUCGGCUCAGCUCGAGAAUGCAGUGGGUGACGGGGUCAGCAGCCCUAAAACUCCCUCCACCCCGGCUGUGGGAAGCACCCACUGGGGGCUCCAUCCCGAUGGGCUUCCUGAGCUAAAAUGGGUGCUUUGUCCAUGCUGGAUAAAUAUGUGGCGAUGUUGGUGGGUUGGGCAAGUCAGUUACACGACUCUGUAUGUUCUUCAGAUGAUUUGGGGAUAUCACUGUUAUUUUAAUAAGUUCUAGAAUUUCCCCCAUUGACAUUGCUACAAGGCAAUUAAAUUAAAUUAAAGUUCCUUCUUAAUAAAAUGUUCCAGUAAAACA
This is a long non-coding RNA of Homo sapiens (human), 14521 nucleotides long. RefSeq lists it as uncharacterized. NCBI's taxonomy places the organism in Eukaryota, Metazoa, Chordata, Mammalia, Primates, Hominidae. The transcript has 2 exons. The record is from RefSeq and is a predicted model, not a curated record.